Miniopterus natalensis is the source of this 276-nucleotide non-coding RNA. The record is from RefSeq and is a predicted model, not a curated record. NCBI's taxonomy places the organism in Eukaryota, Metazoa, Chordata, Mammalia, Chiroptera, Miniopteridae.
UUUUCGAUGAGCAUGGUCAAGAAAUUAAGAAUCCACUUCUGCUGAAAAAUGAGCAGAAAAUUUGGGUCUCUUAUGGUCAAGCAUACAGAUCUCCACUGAACCCUGUUUUGAGUUUGACCUUUGACCAGGUGACUGUAUUUGCCAGAGGUGGCGUUACAAUUGCAUAUAAAACCUUCUUGGAUCUCAGUGCUGUUCUGCUACCUAGAUGUGACAGUUGGGACGUUUGUGAGGGAUUUCCAGCAAAUUUUAAUGCCAGCAGUCAGCAGAUACCUGAUC